Molecule: ribosomal RNA, 322 nt
Filed under: uncultured Acidovorax sp.
Lineage: Bacteria; Pseudomonadati; Pseudomonadota; Betaproteobacteria; Burkholderiales; Comamonadaceae
Description: bacterial SSU rRNA
Rfam family: Bacterial small subunit ribosomal RNA
Source: RNAcentral
ACUCGUGUCGUGAGAUGUUGGGUUAAGUCCCGCAACGAGCGCAACCCUUGUCAUUAGUUGCUACAUUCAGUUGGGCACUCUAAUGAGACUGCCGGUGACAAACCGGAGGAAGGUGGGGAUGACGUCAAGUCCUCAUGGCCCUUAUAGGUGGGGCUACACACGUCAUACAAUGGAUGGUACAAAGGGUCGCCAACCCGCGAGGGGGAGCCAAUCCCAUAAAGCCAUUCGUAGUCCGGAUCGCAGUCUGCAACUCGACUGCGUGAAGUCGGAAUCGCUAGUAAUCGUGGAUCAGAAUGUCACGGUGAAUACGUUCCCGGGUCUU